GACAGAGGGUGCAAACGUUGUUCGGAAUUACUGGGCGUAAAGCGUGUGUAGGCGGCCAUGUAAGUCUGAUGUGAAAGCCCCGGGCUCAACUCGGGAAGUGCACUCGAUACUGCGUGGCUUGAGUACUGGAGAGGUUGGUGGAAUUCUCGGUGUAGAGGUGAAAUUCGUAGAUAUCGAGAGGAACACCGGUGGCGAAGGCGGCCAACUGGACAGAUACUGACGCUGAGACACGAAAGCGUGGGUAGCAAACAGG
Molecule: ribosomal RNA, 253 nt
Filed under: uncultured bacterium
Lineage: Bacteria
Description: partial 16S ribosomal RNA
Rfam family: Bacterial small subunit ribosomal RNA
Source: RNAcentral